GACGGAGGGUGCUAGCGUUGUUCGGAUUCAUUGGGCGUAAAGGGUGCGUAGGCGGCGCGGUAAGUCGGGUGUGAAAUCUCGGAGCUUAACUCCGAAACUGCAUUCGAUACUGCCGUGCUUGAGGACUGGAGAGGAGACUGGAAUUUACGGUGUAGCGGUGAAAUGCGUAGAUAUCGUAAGGAAGACCAGUGGCGAAGGCGGGUCUCUGGACAGUUCCUGACGCUGAGGCACGAAGGCCAGGGGAGCAAACGGG
Molecule: ribosomal RNA, 253 nt
Filed under: uncultured bacterium
Lineage: Bacteria
Description: partial 16S ribosomal RNA
Rfam family: Bacterial small subunit ribosomal RNA
Source: RNAcentral